GAUUUCUGGCUGACCGCGUAUGGUCGGGCAUCCUCAGGGUGCUCUGUACCAUCGUGCGUUUGCCAUCCUUCCAGAGAGCUGUGCCUACCGGCUCGUACGGCAGGGCGCUGCGAUCUGGAUCGUUUACUUUGAAAAAAUUAGAGUGUUCCAAGCAAGCUUACGCUUUGAAUACAUUAGCAUGGAAUAAUAAUAUAGGACUUCGGUUCUAUUUUGUUGGUUUCUAGGACCGAAGUAAUGAUUGAUAGGGAUAGUUGGGGGUGCUAGUAUUCAGCGGCCAGAGGUGAAAUUCUUGGAUUCGCUGAAGACUAACUACUGCGAAAGCAUU
This 325-nucleotide ribosomal RNA is filed under the name uncultured Paulinella. RNAcentral describes it as "SSU rRNA". The stretch from base 113 to 325 matches the Rfam family "Eukaryotic small subunit ribosomal RNA", at positions 741 to 955 of the family's 1831-position model. Lineage: Eukaryota; Cercozoa; Imbricatea; Euglyphida. The record is from RNAcentral.